Molecule: ribosomal RNA, 254 nt
Filed under: uncultured bacterium
Lineage: Bacteria
Description: partial 16S ribosomal RNA
Rfam family: Bacterial small subunit ribosomal RNA
Source: RNAcentral
UACGUAGGUGGCAAGCGUUGUCCGGAUUUACUGGGCGUAAAGAGCGCGCAGGCGGUCGAAUAAGUCGAAUGUGAAAGCCCCCGGCUUAACUGGGGAGGGUCAUUCGAUACUGCUCGACUUGAAGGCAGGAGAGGGUAGUGGAAUUCCCGGUGUAGUGGUGAAAUGCGUAGAUAUCGGGAGGAACACCAGUGGCGAAGGCGACUACCUGGCCUGUUUCUUGACGCUGAGGCGCGAAAGCUAGGGGAGCAAACGGG